RNAcentral lists this ribosomal RNA (253 nucleotides) under uncultured bacterium. RNAcentral describes it as "partial 16S ribosomal RNA". It matches the Rfam family "Bacterial small subunit ribosomal RNA", at positions 524 to 776 of the family's 1533-position model. The record is from RNAcentral.
UACGUAGGGUGCAAGCGUUAAUCGGAAUUACUGGGCGUAAAGCGUGCGCAGGCGGCUUUGCAAGUCAGAUGUGAAAUCCCCGGGCUUAACCUGGGAACUGCAUUUGUGACUGCAUGGCUGGAGUGCGGCAGAGGGGGAUGGAAUUCCGCGUGUAGCAGUGAAAUGCGUAGAUAUGCGGAGGACCACCGAUGGCGAAGGCAAUCCCCUGGGCCUGCACUGACGCUCAUGCACGAAAGCGUGGGGAGCAAACAGG